AUGAUCUGGAUGACCAAUGGAUGUCAGUUGACUGCUACCUGGAAGGACUUCAUGGAUCUGCUCCACGUACCUGAUGAGGGGCUCAACACACCCGUUGGUGUUCGCCCUCAUGCCAACCCUGAGUCAGCUAGCAAGAACAGGAUACAGCAGUAUUAUGUUGCGAAGACGCUUCCGAGUGGCAAGACGACAUGGGUGCUGAACCCAUUUCUGGACAUCAUGCAUCGCAUUUUCCGCAACUCUCUUUUCCCUCGCAUUGGUGACAAGGACAAGGUGUGUGCCUAUCUGGUGGAUAUGAUGCUCCUGUGCGAGGAGGAGCGUGUGUCUCGGUCUUAA
This 333-nucleotide ribosomal RNA is filed under the name Triticum aestivum (bread wheat). RNAcentral's name for it is "partial small subunit ribosomal RNA". Lineage: Eukaryota; Viridiplantae; Streptophyta; Magnoliopsida; Poales; Poaceae. The record is from RNAcentral.